RNAcentral lists this ribosomal RNA (236 nucleotides) under uncultured bacterium. Its description in RNAcentral is "partial 16S ribosomal RNA". It matches the Rfam family "Bacterial small subunit ribosomal RNA", at positions 524 to 759 of the family's 1533-position model. The record is from RNAcentral.
GACGUAGGGCGCGAGCGUUGUCCGGAUUUAUUGGCGUAAAGAGCUCGUAGGCGGCUUGUCGCGUCGUUCGUGAAACCUGCAGCGUCAACUGCAGGCUUGCGGUCGAUACGGGCAGGCUAGAGUUCGGUAGGGGAGACUGGAAUUCCUGGUGUAGCGGUGAAAUGCGCAGAUAUCAGGAGGAACACCGGUGGCGAAGGCGGGUCUCUGGGCCGAUACUGACGCUGGAGGAGCGAAAG